This 98-nucleotide non-coding RNA is filed under the name Photobacterium profundum. RNAcentral's name for it is "TPP sequence". It matches the Rfam family "TPP riboswitch aptamer (THI element)". From Rfam's summary of the family: Vitamin B(1) in its active form thiamin pyrophosphate (TPP) is an essential coenzyme that is synthesised by coupling of pyrimidine and thiazole moieties in bacteria. The previously detected thiamin-regulatory element, thi box was extended, resulting in a new, highly conserved RNA secondary structure, the THI element, which is widely distributed in eubacteria and also occurs in some archaea. Analysis of operon structures identified a large number of new candidate thiamin-regulated genes, mostly transporters, in various prokaryotic organisms. The record is from RNAcentral. RNAcentral also lists the same sequence under 1 other name. Lineage: Bacteria; Pseudomonadati; Pseudomonadota; Gammaproteobacteria; Vibrionales; Vibrionaceae.
GCUUGUUAGUCGGGGAGCCUUUGGCUGAGACCACUUCGGUGGGACCCGUUGAACCUGAUCCAAUUAACAUUGGCGGAGGGAACUAAUAGUAAUGCCCU